AGUAUACGUUCAUCCCAACCAAACCUCCGUGCUUCUGUUUCCCAAUUUCUCCAACAUCCUCUUUACCUCAAACUCCUAAACCUAACUUCCGUGCUUCUGAUUCCCAACUUCUCCAACAUCCUUUUACCUUAAACUCCUGAACCUGUCAACAUUUCCCUUCUUCCUCCAAAUUCUACAGACAUUGCGUUUUUCUUCUUCCUCCAAAUUCUACGAGGUGUGAUUUUGUCUUCGUCGACUCAUCUUGCAUUGCAUCUUCAGUUAUGCAUUUCAGGGAUUUCAAGGCAUAUAAUUCUCCUCAGCUUUGUUCCUGGAGUCUUGUUCUUGCAAUUAUCUUAACAGUAGCUGAAACAAUUAUCAAGGAAAAUUAACGAGAAAACCAGAGUCAUGGACAAAAGUUGGAUGUGUCAACCAAGAUCUUCUGGCAGGUAUUUAGAUGGUUUAAACAAGUUUCUCGACUUUGCAUUUAGUAAUGCAGCACAAGGUGAUCAAAUUUUAUGUCCGUGCAAGAAUUGUAAUAAUUGUUGUUGGAGUAACCGAGCAGAAGUGUAUGAACACUUAAUUUGUGAUGGAUUUGAUAAAAGAUAUGAUAAAUGGAUUUUUCAUGGGGAAGGUGGAUCUUCAAAAGUGGAUAAAGGAAAGGCUAAUAUGCAUGAUAAUUUGGAUGAACUUUUAGAGGAUACUUUCAUGAUGCCUGAGUGUGAUUUUGAUGACAUAUUGGAUGAAGACGAAGAGUUUGAUGUAGAAAUGGUGAGGAUUUACAAUUUAGUACGUGAUGCUCGUCAAGAAGCAUACCCGGGUUGUAAAAAAUUCUCAAAACUAUCAAUCAUUGUUCGUUUACUCCAUAUUAAGAACCUUUAUGGGUGGAGCGAUGUAUCAUUUAGUGCGUUACUACUAUUGCUCAAAGAAUUGCUUCCUGAAAACUCUUCUUUGCCAGUAACAUUUUAAGAUUGCAAAUACAUAAUCAAAGAGUUAGGUUGUAGUUAUGAAAAAAUCCAUGCUUGUCCUAAUGACUGUAUCCUAUUUUGGAAAGAGCAUGAGAAUGAAGAUAAAUGCCCCAAGUGUGGUGCUUCAAGAACCUUUUGUUUUUUUUAUUUUUUUUUCUACUUUUCAGGUCAUUUAAAGGUAAAUAGUUUGCAUGAUCAUGAUCUUGCAUGUGGCAGGCAGCUCUACCUCAGGGAAUUGUUCCUUUUGUUUUUGCCAAAGAAUAUAAUGUUCAUCCAGCUGUUUUAAGCACAGGCAAGCAUCUUCUGGACCAGGAAGAUGUGGAUAUGGUGAAUACACUUGACAAGGAAAAAGGUAUCACACUGGAGGAUUUUAAGCUCAUUAAGAUGCAUAUGGCCAGUUAUAUUUUGAAAUUGGCACAAGUAAAAGUGAGACAGAGGUGUGAACUGUAUUUCUUGAAUAGGCACAAGUCAUCUCUUUUAUGUUUAUAAUUUAUAGGACAGAAAAGUUCUUUAGCAAAAGGUAAUUGCAAAUAACUUAUUCUGUCAUGAUGAUAACCUUUGUGCUUCACCUUAAGGACUUUCAAUGUACAAAAAUGAACUCUUGCAUGCAACAUGAAUUUUCUUAUGAGCCUAAAUUUAGGGUAUGCAGUUAAAUUUACAGUCUUUUUUAGUUUAAUUGACAGAGCUAAAGGGGUUAAAACUGCAAAUGGGUAUAUUUACCUUACGACAAAUCAAAUAACUUCAACAAAGCCAACAAAAUUGGAGAAGGAGGGUUUGGUCCUAUGUACAAGGGAAAUUUAUCAGAUGGGAAAAUAAUAGCAAUGAAGCAACUUUCUUCCAAAUCAAGGCAGGGGAAUGUUUUGUAUGCAUGAUAUGAUUACACCAUGAAGCAAUAAACCAGAGAGGUUAUUAAAUUGCAGACCUUGUUGAAUCAGAUUUAGCCAAGUAUAGUUAAUGAUUAAAAAGCAAUUGAGGAUGCAAAAACCAGAGAGGUCUACUCAGUGCUUACAUUAUUAAAACGCUUUAUAUUGGCAGGUGGAUAGGUUAAAGAUGAAAGCUUAGGCAUGUAGAGAAUAUUUAUAGAGCAUUGGAGAGGGCUUUCAACACGCCAUUGGGAGCUUUGCCUCGUUUUCCUCCAUAUCUCCCUCUAUACGAUAGUAUAUCACUACAAAAGGGAGACAUUUGAUGCAGAUUGCAAGUGGUUGGUGUUUGAAAAGGUUGGAACAAUGAAAGUAAACAAACUUGAAAGGAUAAUUUGUUCAGGAUUUAAAAUGACCUUAAUAAAGUUAGUUGGCCAUCUGUUUUUCUUAAA
This is a long non-coding RNA of Vigna unguiculata (cowpea), 2256 nucleotides long. Lineage: Eukaryota; Viridiplantae; Streptophyta; Magnoliopsida; Fabales; Fabaceae. The record is from RefSeq and is a predicted model, not a curated record.